UCACCUACGGGGGGCAGCAGUGAGGAAUAUUGGUCAAUGGGCGGGAGCCUGAACCAGCCAAGUCGCGUGAGGGAAGACGGUCCUACGGAUUGUAAACCUCUUUUGCCGGGGAGCAACGGGGUCCUUGCGAGGGCCCAAUGAGAGUACCCGGAGAAAAAGCAUCGGCUAACUCCGUGCCAGCAGCCGCGGUAAUACGUAGGUGGCGAGCGUUGUCCGGAAUUACUGGGUGUAAAGGGAGUGUAGGCGGGAAAGCAAGUCAGAAGUGAAAACUAUGGGCUUAACCCAUAGCCUGCUUUUGAAACUGU
This 305-nucleotide ribosomal RNA is filed under the name uncultured bacterium. RNAcentral describes it as "bacterial SSU rRNA". It matches the Rfam family "Bacterial small subunit ribosomal RNA", at positions 335 to 636 of the family's 1533-position model. The record is from RNAcentral.